UGGGGAAUAUUGCACAAUGGGCGCAAGCCUGAUGCAGCCAUGCCGCGUGUAUGAAGAAGGCCUUCGGGUUGUAAAGUACUUUCAGCGAGGAGGAAGGCGUUGUGGUUAAUAACCGCAACGAUUGACGUUACUCGCAGAAGAAGCACCGGCUAACUCCGUGCCAGCAGCCGCGGUAAUACGGAGGGUGCAAGCGUUAAUCGGAAUUACUGGGCGUAAAGCGCACGCAGGGGGUCUGUCAAGUCGGAUGUGAAAUCCCUGGGCUCAACCUGGGAACUGCAUCCGAAACUGGCAGGCUAGAGUCUUGUAGAGGGGGGUAGAAUUCCAGGUGUAGCGGUGAAAUGCGUAGAGAUCUGGAGGAAUACCGGUGGCGAAGGCGGCCCCCUGGACAAAGACUGACGCUCAGGUGCGAAAGCGUGGGGAGCAAACA
Molecule: ribosomal RNA, 427 nt
Filed under: uncultured bacterium
Lineage: Bacteria
Description: partial 16S ribosomal RNA
Rfam family: Bacterial small subunit ribosomal RNA
Source: RNAcentral